GAUGAACGCUGGCGGCGUGCCUAAUACAUGCAAGUCGAACGCUGGAGAUCUAGCUUGCUAGAUCGAAGGAGUGGCGAACGGGUGAGUAAUACAUAAGCAACCUACCCACGAAGACUGGGAUAAUCUCUGGAAACGGGGAUUAAUACCGGAUAGGUAAUCGGAAGGCAUCUUCUGGUUAUUAAAGGUUAAAAACACUGGUGGAUGGGCUUAUGGCGCAUUAGUUAGUUGGUGAGGUAACGGCCCACCAAGACGAUGAUGCGUAGCCGGCCUGAGAGGGUGAACGGCCACAUUGGGACUGAGACACGGCCCAGACUCCUACGGGAGGCAGCAGUAGGGAAUUUUCAGCAAUGGGGGCAACCCUGACCGAGCAACGCCGCGUGAGUGAAGACGGCCUUCGGGUUGUAAAGCUCUGUUGUAAGGGAAGAACGGUAGAUAGAGAAUAUCUAAGUGACGGUACCUUACCAGAAAGCCACGGCUAACUACGUG
RNAcentral lists this ribosomal RNA (486 nucleotides) under uncultured bacterium. RNAcentral's name for it is "partial 16S ribosomal RNA". It matches the Rfam family "Bacterial small subunit ribosomal RNA", at positions 28 to 507 of the family's 1533-position model. The record is from RNAcentral.